GACGAACGCUGGCGGCGUGCUUAACACAUGCAAGUCGAGCGGUAAGGCCCUUUCGGGGGGUACACGAGCGGCGAACGGGUGAGUAACACGUGGGUGACCUGCCCUCAGCUCUGGGAUAAGCCUGGGAAACCGGGUCUAAUACUGGAUAUGACUCCAUGACGCAUGUUGUGGGGUGGAAAGCCUUGUGCGGCUGAGGAUGGGCCCGCGGCCUAUCAGCUUGUUGGUGGGGGAUGGCCUACCAAGGCGACGACGGGUAGCCGACCUGAGAGGGCGACCGGCCACACUGGGACUGAGACACGGCCCAGACUCCUACGGGAGGCAGCAGUGGGGAAUCUUGCGCAAUGGGCGAAAGCCUGACGCAGCGACGCCGCGUGA
Molecule: ribosomal RNA, 375 nt
Filed under: uncultured bacterium
Lineage: Bacteria
Description: bacterial SSU rRNA
Rfam family: Bacterial small subunit ribosomal RNA
Source: RNAcentral